CCUACGGGUGGCAGCAGUGGGGAAUAUUGGACAAUGGGGGGAACCCUGAUCCAGCCAUGCCGCGUGUGUGAAGAAGGCCCUCGGGUUGUAAAGCACUUUCAGUGAGGAAGAACGCCUGGUGGUUAAUACCCAUCAGGAAAGACAUCACUCACAGAAGAAGCACCGGCUAACUCCGUGCCAGCAGCCGCGGUAAUACGGAGGGUGCGAGCGUUAAUCGGAAUUACUGUGCGUAAAGCGCGCGUAGGUGGCUUGAUAAGCCGGUUGUGAAAGCCCCGGGCUCAACCUGGGAACGGCAUCCGGAACUGUCAAGCUAGAGUGCAGGAGAGGAAGGUAGAAUUCCCGGUGUAGCGGUGAAAUGCGUAGAGAUCGGGAGGAAUACCAGUGGCGAAGGCGGCCUUCUGGACUGACACUGACACUGAGGUGCGAAAGCGUGGGUAGCAAACAGGAUUAGAUACCCCAGUAGUC
This 465-nucleotide ribosomal RNA is filed under the name Vreelandella stevensii. RNAcentral's name for it is "partial 16S ribosomal RNA". It matches the Rfam family "Bacterial small subunit ribosomal RNA", at positions 338 to 795 of the family's 1533-position model. Lineage: Bacteria; Pseudomonadati; Pseudomonadota; Gammaproteobacteria; Oceanospirillales; Halomonadaceae. The record is from RNAcentral.